Molecule: ribosomal RNA, 736 nt
Filed under: uncultured bacterium
Lineage: Bacteria
Description: bacterial SSU rRNA
Rfam family: Bacterial small subunit ribosomal RNA
Source: RNAcentral
ACUUCUUUAUCACCGAGUGCUUGCACUCACCGGUAAAGGGUUGAGUGGCGAACGGGUGAGUAACACGUGGGCAACCUGCCCAAAAGAGGGGGAUAACACUUGGAAACAGGUGCUAAUACCGCAUAACCAUAGUUACCGCAUGGUAGCUAUGUAAAAGGUGGCUAUGCUACCGCUUUUGGAUGGGCCCGCGGCGCAUUAGCUAGUUGGUGGGGUAAAGGCUUACCAAGGCAAUGAUGCGUAGCCGAACUGAGAGGUUGAUCGGCCACAUUGGGACUGAGACACGGCCCAAACUCCUACGGGAGGCAGCAGUAGGGAAUCUUCCACAAUGGGCGAAAGCCUGAUGGAGCAACGCCGCGUGGGUGAAGAAGGUCUUCGGAUCGUAAAACCCUGUUGUUAGAGAAGAAAGUGCGUGAGAGUAACUGUUCACGUUUCGACGGUAUCUAACCAGAAAGCCACGGCUAACUACGUGCCAGCAGCCGCGGUAAUACGUAGGUGGCAAGCGUUAUCCGGAUUUAUUGGGCGUAAAGGGAACGCAGGCGGUCUUUUAAGUCUGAUGUGAAAGCCUUCGGCUUAACCGGAGUAGUGCAUUGGAAACUGGGAGACUUGAGUGCAGAAGAGGAGAGUGGAACUCCAUGUGUAGCGGUGAAAUGCGUAGAUAUAUGGAAGAACACCAGUGGCGAAAGCGGCUCUCUGGUCUGUAACUGACGCUGAGGUUCGAAAGCGUGGGUAGCAAACA